RNAcentral lists this ribosomal RNA (497 nucleotides) under uncultured bacterium. Its description in RNAcentral is "partial 16S ribosomal RNA". It matches the Rfam family "Bacterial small subunit ribosomal RNA", at positions 28 to 507 of the family's 1533-position model. The record is from RNAcentral.
GAUGAACGCUGGCGGCGUGCCUAACACAUGCAAGUCGAGCGAACAGAUGAGGAGCUUGCUCCCCUGACGUUAGCGGCGGACGGGUGAGUAACACGUGGAUAACCUACCUCUAAGACUGGGAUAACUUCGGGAAACCGGAGCUAAUACCGGAUAAUAUAUUGAACCGCAUGGUUCAAUAGUGAAAGACGGUUUUGCUGUCACUUAUAGAUGGAUCCGCGUCGCAUUAGCUAGUUGGUAAGGUAACGGCUUACCAAGGCAACGAUGCGUAGCCGACCUGAGAGGGUGAUCGGCCACACUGGAACUGAGACACGGUCCAGACUCCUACGGGAGGCAGCAGUAGGGAAUCUUCCGCAAUGGGCGAAAGCCUGACGGAGCAACGCCGCGUGAGUGAUGAAGGUCUUCGGAUCGUAAAGCUCUGUUAUUAGGAAAGAACAAAUGUGUAAGUAACUAUGCACGUCUUGACGGUACCUAAUCAGAAAGCCACGGCUAACUACGUG